GGCCGGAUAGCAAAGUGGUAAUGCACGGGACUGCAAAUCCCGCAACGCCGGUUCGAUUCCGGCUCCAGCCC
RNAcentral lists this transfer RNA (71 nucleotides) under Alphaproteobacteria bacterium. RNAcentral's name for it is "tRNA-Cys". It matches the Rfam family "tRNA". From Rfam's summary of the family: Transfer RNA (tRNA) molecules are approximately 80 nucleotides in length. Their secondary structure includes four short double-helical elements and three loops (D, anti-codon, and T loops). RNAcentral also lists the same sequence under 1 other name. The record is from RNAcentral. Lineage: Bacteria; Pseudomonadati; Pseudomonadota; Alphaproteobacteria.